GCCUAACACAUGCAAGUCGAACGGUAACAGGAAGCAGCUUGCUGCUUCGCUGACGAGUGGCGGACGGGUGAGUAAUGUCUGGGGAUCUGCCUGAUGGAGGGGGAUAACUACUGGAAACGGUAGCUAAUACCGCAUAACGUCGCAAGACCAAAGAGGGGGACCUUCGGGCCUCUUGCCAUCAGAUGAACCCAGAUGGGAUUAGCUAGUAGGUGGGGUAACGGCUCACCUAGGCGACGAUCCCUAGCUGGUCUGAGAGGAUGACCAGCCACACUGGAACUGAGACACGGUCCAGACUCCUACGGGAGGCAGCAGUGGGGAAUAUUGCACAAUGGGCGCAAGCCUGAUGCAGCCAUGCCGCGUGUAUGAAGAAGGCCUUCGGGUUGUAAAGUACUUUCAGCGAGGAGGAAGGCGGUAAAGGUUAAUAAC
RNAcentral lists this ribosomal RNA (426 nucleotides) under Enterobacteriaceae bacterium MIXRH30. Its description in RNAcentral is "bacterial SSU rRNA". It matches the Rfam family "Bacterial small subunit ribosomal RNA", at positions 46 to 466 of the family's 1533-position model. Lineage: Bacteria; Pseudomonadati; Pseudomonadota; Gammaproteobacteria; Enterobacterales; Enterobacteriaceae. The record is from RNAcentral.